UCCGGAGUGCUCAAGCUGGUAUGAGGCCUGACUGUUAAUCAGGUGCAGCCCGUCUAGAACGGUACGCAGGUUCGAACCCUGCCUCCGGAGCCA
Molecule: transfer RNA, 93 nt
Filed under: compost metagenome
Description: tRNA-Asn
Rfam family: tRNA
About the family: Transfer RNA (tRNA) molecules are approximately 80 nucleotides in length.
Source: RNAcentral